This 253-nucleotide ribosomal RNA is filed under the name uncultured bacterium. RNAcentral describes it as "partial 16S ribosomal RNA". It matches the Rfam family "Bacterial small subunit ribosomal RNA", at positions 524 to 776 of the family's 1533-position model. The record is from RNAcentral.
UACGAAGGGGGCUAGCGUUGCUCGGAAUCACUGGGCGUAAAGGGUUCGUAGGCGGGUCUUUAAGUCAGGGGUGAAAUCCUGGAGCUCAACUCCAGAACUGCCUUUGAUACUGAAGAUCUUGAGUUCGGGAGAGGUGAGUGGAACUGCGAGUGUAGAGGUGAAAUUCGUAGAUAUUCGCAAGAACACCAGUGGCGAAGGCGGCUCACUGGCCCGAUACUGACGCUGAGACGCGAAAGCGUGGGGAGCAAACAGG